GAUGAACGCUGGCGGCGUGCUUAACACAUGCAAGUCGAACGGGAAUUACUUUAUUGAAACUUCGGUCGAUUUAAUUUAAUUCUAGUGGCGGACGGGUGAGUAACGCGUGGGUAACCUGCCUUAUACAGGGGGAUAACAGUCAGAAAUGGCUGCUAAUACCGCAUAAGCGCACAGAGCUGCAUGGCUCAGUGUGAAAAACUCCGGUGGUAUAAGAUGGACCCGCGUUGGAUUAGCUUGUUGGUGGGGUAACGGCCCACCAAGGCGACGAUCCAUAGCCGGCCUGAGAGGGUGAACGGCCACAUUGGGACUGAGACACGGCCCAGACUCCUACGGGAGGCAGCAGUGGGGAAUAUUGCACAAUGGGGGAAACCCUGAUGCAGCGACGCCGCGUGAAGGAAGAAGUAUCUCGGUAUGUAAACUUCUAUCAGCAGGGAAGAUAGUGACGGUACCUGACUAAGGAGCCCCGGCUAACUACGUGCCAGCAGCCGCGGUAA
Molecule: ribosomal RNA, 494 nt
Filed under: uncultured bacterium
Lineage: Bacteria
Description: partial 16S ribosomal RNA
Rfam family: Bacterial small subunit ribosomal RNA
Source: RNAcentral